AAUCUCCGCGAGACUCGAAAAAAAAAAAAGGAGAAAAUGUGACCUCCGCUUCCGCUCAUCCUCUCCCGCCCCAAACCCUAGCAGCCAGCGAGAAUGGGGCAGCAGCCGCUCAAGCACGACCGCUCGCACGGCAAGGUGGACGCGUGGGUGACCCCGAAGAGACCGAGGAGCUCCCAGCGGCCAUCGGCGCCGCUGAAGGAGCUCGCGACGCCGCUACGGCCCCCGCCCCUGCCCCCAAGCCGAGGUGUGACGAUGCGACACCCGCGGCGAGGAAAUCCUCGGCGUCCAGCGAGCCCGGUUCACGCGGCGACGCCCCCGGCAGCGACCUCGGGACGGAAGAAUCAGAUGGCAUUGGCUGCUCAACCCCUGACAGCACGAAAGCAAUGCUUCAGCAGGAUGAUUAUGAGAAAAGGGAGUACUCUCCGGGUGUGGUUCUUUCUAAGAGUGGGGAUUCUGCGGUGAAGAUGGCAUCAGCUUAUGUAGACGACCUGCCUGCUGAAGAUUUGAGGGACAAUGAAGUAAUCACUGUGGAUAGUGAAGGCCCUAGCAAGCCUCUCCCAUCAAUUUCCCUUGUUCAAGAUGAGGAAGCAGUACGGCUUGCCAGAACUUUUGUCAACGAGCAAGUCAAAGAGUUCAUGGAAGGUGUCUCAGAGCCAGGAAUCCUGCAGAGUCGUUUGUCGAAAAUCACCUCAUUCCUUGUUCAGGCCACCUCUAUAGCUGCUGUCCUCCAUGAUGAAAUCCCUCGACAAAUACGUGCACAAAGUGCUUUGGUGACCCAGGUUUCAGAGCUUGAGAAGCAGGUUGAGGAGCUGUCCAAGAAGCUAUGUACUAUUGAGGGGCUUGAGGGGACCAAUGCACUAUUGAAGGAGACCCAGGCUGCCAUGCUGGAGGCACAAUCAGACCGAGCGACUACCGUUGCUGCCAUGAACAGCCUUGCUAUGCGCAUGGGAGCAUCAUUCGCUAGGCUGGGCACAAUACUCGAUCCCCCACCCAAUGUGGUUGAUUCUCUGGAGGAGAGCAUUAAGCAGAUGACAGCCCUGGUGUCUCUCCUCGUCCCUGUGUCUCACAGCCAUGGCUCGAGUCUAGCCAGGAGCAGCCUGACGUCUGGGGUUGCGGCAUUGCUAUGUAGAGGACGGGGCAUCAAGAGCCUGCGUGAGCCGUCGGGUAUGGAUACCCGUCAGUUUGUCCGCUCGCAGGGGCCUGAGUUCCACUCCCUGAUCUCUCAAGUUGUUGACUCCAUGGAGCAGCGGUUGGCCAAGACACUUGAAGGUGGUGGAUGGAGAGAUUCUAGAGCUACUGAAGAGUCAGGAAAACCAACAAACAACAAUAAAGGAACAAUGCCUGAACUGCAUUAAGUUAAUUACGAUGCAGUUUCUUUUGAUCUCAUCUCUAGUAGUAGUAUGAGAUGAGAUGGGCUGAUGGUAUCUGUUGUAGAUGUAGGGUGUAGCUCAGUAGCUCGCUGACUGCCAGUGUAGUAGCAUGUACGAGACCUGGCACUCUGGUUCGGUGACCUUGACUUAGGGCUUGUUUAGUUUCUAAAUUUUUUUAAAAAACAUCACAUCGAAU
RNA transcript from Oryza brachyantha (malo sina), 1566 nucleotides. RefSeq lists it as uncharacterized. Lineage: Eukaryota; Viridiplantae; Streptophyta; Magnoliopsida; Poales; Poaceae. The transcript has 4 exons. The record is from RefSeq and is a predicted model, not a curated record.